GUCGACGAUACCUUCGGGUAUAGUGGCGCACGGGUGAGUAACACGUGGGAAUAUACCUUUCAGUGGGGGAUAACAUCGGGAAACUGAUGCUAAUACCGCAUACGCCCUUAGGGGGAAAGAUUUAUCGCUGAAAGAUUAGCCCGCGUCCGAUUAGCUAGUUGGUGAGGUAAUGGCUCACCAAGGCGACGAUCGGUAGCUGGUCUGAGAGGAUGACCAGCCACACUGGGACUGAGACACGGCCCAGACUCCUACGGGAGGCAGCAGUGGGGAAUAUUGGACAAUGGGCGCAAGCCUGAUACAGCCAUGCCGCGUGAGUGAUGAAGGCCUUAGGGUUGUAAAGCUCUUUCGACGGGGACGAUGAUGACGGUACCCGUAGAAGAAGCCCCGGCUAACUUCGUGCCAGCAGCCGCGGUAAUACGAAGGGGGCUAGCGUUGUUCGGAAUUACUGGGCGUAAAGCGCACGCAGGCGGUUCGAUUAG
Molecule: ribosomal RNA, 479 nt
Filed under: uncultured Magnetospirillum sp.
Lineage: Bacteria; Pseudomonadati; Pseudomonadota; Alphaproteobacteria; Rhodospirillales; Rhodospirillaceae
Description: bacterial SSU rRNA
Rfam family: Bacterial small subunit ribosomal RNA
Source: RNAcentral